Molecule: ribosomal RNA, 253 nt
Filed under: uncultured bacterium
Lineage: Bacteria
Description: partial 16S ribosomal RNA
Rfam family: Bacterial small subunit ribosomal RNA
Source: RNAcentral
UACGAAGGGGGCUAGCGUUGCUCGGAAUUACUGGGCGUAAAGCGUGCGCAGGCGGCUUUGCAAGACAGAUGUGAAAUCCCCGGGCUUAACCUGGGAACUGCAUUUGUGACUGCAUGGCUGGAGUGCGGCAGAGGGGGAUGGAAUUCCGCGUGUAGCAGUGAAAUGCGUAGAUAUGCGGAGGAACACCGAUGGCGAAGGCAAUCCCCUGGACCUGUACUGACGCUCAUGCACGAAAGCGUGGGGAGCAAACAGG